UCUAAUAUGGCAGAUAAAUGCAAUGAAUUUAAGCUUCAUUUAUAAAGAACCUUCUUUUAUUAGAA
Molecule: transfer RNA, 65 nt
Filed under: Nabicula flavomarginata
Lineage: Eukaryota; Metazoa; Arthropoda; Insecta; Hemiptera; Nabidae
Description: tRNA-Leu
Source: RNAcentral